Molecule: transfer RNA, 76 nt
Filed under: Bacillota bacterium
Lineage: Bacteria; Bacillati; Bacillota
Description: Firmicutes bacterium (anaerobic digester metagenome) tRNA-Pro
Rfam family: tRNA
About the family: Transfer RNA (tRNA) molecules are approximately 80 nucleotides in length. Their secondary structure includes four short double-helical elements and three loops (D, anti-codon, and T loops).
Source: RNAcentral
CGGGGCGUAGCGCAGUUGGUAGCGCGCUUGGUUUGGGACCAAGAGGUCCCGGGUUCGAGUCCCGGCGCCCCGACCA